Molecule: long non-coding RNA, 2129 nt
Organism: Myotis myotis
Lineage: Eukaryota; Metazoa; Chordata; Mammalia; Chiroptera; Vespertilionidae
Exons: 2
Source: RefSeq, a predicted model, not a curated record
GCGGCGAGGACGGAGAACAUUGAGCAAUUGUGUGAAGCUGUGCAGGUCACUGUCAGCACACGCUGGGAAGGCGACAAGAGGGGCUGGAAAUAAUCGAAGAGCCUGAGGGAGAAGCGCUGCCCGGGAAGAGCAGGACGCGCAGAAGGGCAAGAGUAACACCACGUGCUAAAUAGGCACGUAUAAUGGCAAAGACGGAAAGCCAGCUGGCGGUGUCAGACCUCGCGCACGGGGCCAUGUCAGUAAGCAGCAGACCACGACUUUCCCAGGACCCUGAAAUACAUGGCCCUUCGGCCGGGCUACCGCUCAGAAAUGAUCUCCGAUGGAAAAGCUAGCAGAAAAGGAAAAGCCUUCCUGGCUGCGUUCCGGGUCCUGGAACCCUCAGAACUCAGUGUUGGCAUUCGCAGUCCCUCCGCCUGAACCAGGUUUUCUCCCAGAGCCACAUGGCCCACUCCCUACUUCACUCAGUCCUCUGGUCACACGUGGGGCCCGAGACCCUUCCACCACCUUAGCUGAAUUAGCUACGUCCCCACCUGCACUCGCUCUCUCCCCAUUCCUGCUGUUUGCUCCUCACAGCAUCUAUUGACAGCUGCCACUUCAAAUGUCACCCCAUGACUUUACUGCUAUACAGUCACGCAACACUAAGGACGGGGAUACAUUCUCAGCAAUGUGUCAUUCCGUGAUUUCGUCAUUGUGCAAACAUCACAGAGUGCACUUACUCAAACCAAAAGGUAGACCCUCCUACACUCCUAAGCUAUAUGGUGUCGCCUAUCACUCCUACGCUACAAGCCUAUAUAACAUGUCACUGUACAAAACAACAUGAGAUUAAAUAAAGCACAAGAGAAAAUGAUGCAUUCAAGAGACGUGGUUAAAUACAAGAUGUAAUGAGGCUGCUGCCAGUGUAGCCUGGCAUAUUGUUUUACAGCAAAAAUGUGUGUUUUAUAAGUAGAAAGAAUACAACCUAAAAUAAUGAUAAAAGUAUAAUAAAUACAUAAGCCAGUGACAUAGUUUAUUAUCAUUAUCAAGUAUCACGUACUGUACAGAAUUGUAUGUGCUAUACUCUUAUCCGACUGGCAGCUCAGUUUGUUGACAGCAGCAUCACCACAAACAUGUGAGUAAUGCAUUGCACUAGACAUUAUGACAACUACAAUGUCACCAGGUGAGAGGAAAUUUUCAGCUCCACUAGCAUCCUAUGGGACUACCAGCAUAUAUGCCGUCCAUCAUUGACCAAAAUGUUGUUAAACAGCACAUGACUAUAACUGUAUCUAUCUGUUCAGUUACUUAUUUUUUAUGUAUUCAUGUAUUUAUAUUUUAUGUUCCUGUGCAUUAUCUGUCUCUCCACACUAGAAUGUAAACUGCACAAGAACAGGAACUUUCUGUUCAUUGAAGCACCUCAAACAUCUACAACAGAGCAGAGAGUAAAGAUUUUUCUAAAUAACAAUUUAUCCUCAUGCCUGUUAGUAGGUUUGUUUUAUUUGUUGAUUUGCUUUUAAACAAGAGUUAUAAACAAGCUUGAGUGGUACUGUCUGUCCCUUCUCUUGGGUCCCUGGGGUUGGAUUGUCUAAAUAUCACACUGAAUGAAGAAAAGAAGCCAAAAUACAUAUUAACUGUCUAUUUUUUAUCGAGGUUUUACGCAAUAAUUUUAAACUGAUUUUCUUAUCAUGGUCUCACACUACACUAGGAAGACUGUGUUGGUAUUGUUUUUCCCUUUUGAAAGAUAUGGAAGCUCUAGUUUAGAGAAGUUAAAGGGCUUGCCCAAAGUCACACAGCAAGUUAGCCAUUGGAGAAACGGGUGGCUGAUGUUACAAUACAGAAAUCUGGAUUCCAAUCUCCUGAGUUUUUCGUUAGGCACAAGACAGGAAAAUGAUUGCACCACCUGCCACAGCGCCUCCAUGACCACGAAAGACAUUAAUCAUCCACUAGAACCAAAGCUAUACCUUCCUCUGGACCAGGGCAUCACUCUUCUUCAACACAGCAUUCCCGCCAGCCUCCAUCAAGCCAUGAUGUUGGAGAUAAGCAUGCCUACUUGCUACCUAUCCUAUUGACUCUUUUUUUCCUUUUUUAUUGACUUUAUUGAGGUGACAAUUGUUAAUAAAAUUAUGUAGGCUUCAAGUAUACAAUUCUAUAAUACA